GACGAACGCUGGCGGCGUGCUUAACACAUGCAAGUCGAACGGAAAGGCCCUGCUUUUGUGGGGUGCUCGAGUGGCGAACGGGUGAGUAACACGUGAGUAACCUGCCCUUGACUUUGGGAUAACUUCAGGAAACUGGGGCUAAUACCGGAUAGGAGCUCCUGCUGCAUGGUGGGGGUUGGAAAGUUUCGGCGGUUGGGGAUGGACUCGCGGCUUAUCAGCUUGUUGGUGGGGUAGUGGCUUACCAAGGCUUUGACGGGUAGCCGGCCUGAGAGGGUGACCGGGCACAUUGGGACUGCGAUACGGACCAGUCUCCUACGGGAGGCAGCAGUGGGGAAUAUUGCACAAUGAGCGGAAGCGUGAUGCAGCGGCGCCGCGUGCGGGAUGACGGCCUUCGGGUUGUAAACCGCUUUCGCCUGUGACGAAGCGUGAGUGACGGUAAUGGGUAAAGAAGCACCGGCUAACUACGUG
RNAcentral lists this ribosomal RNA (468 nucleotides) under uncultured bacterium. Its description in RNAcentral is "partial 16S ribosomal RNA". It matches the Rfam family "Bacterial small subunit ribosomal RNA", at positions 28 to 507 of the family's 1533-position model. The record is from RNAcentral.